Biomphalaria pfeifferi is the source of this 941-nucleotide non-coding RNA. Lineage: Eukaryota; Metazoa; Mollusca; Gastropoda; Planorbidae. The record is from the annotation of a GenBank genome assembly.
CAACUGUACAAAAUAACUUUAUUUUUUACUUUUGCAAAUUUCAAACCAAGUGGAAGAAAAUACAACGAAUGAAAGCACCUAACACAACGCAUUAACUGUCGUGUUUAUAGACACUGCGUUAAUGGAACAAUCACUGAUACAAAAGUAAAAAUACUAUUAAUGGAAAUUCUAUUGUUGAAACAAUGGGCUAUAUUUAUAGCCUAUAGGUAGAAUACAAGACACAGGACGCAAGACAAAUGGAAGACACAUAUUAUUAGACAUGCGACAAACAGAAUUAAUGAUAUCUUCAUUGAAAUAAACAAAUCUUGACCAAAUUAAGUAAUAUCUCCCCUUCAGUAUUCCUUACAUCAUCACUGAAAUUUACGAAUUUACGAAUAUAGUUUGUAAACAUUUUACACCUAUGUAGGUCCAAAUAAAAUGAGUCUAAUAAACUCUGUUAAACAAGCCACAAAUUCAUUUCAAAAGGGGUAAAUGACUCUGCCAAAUUUUUCAAUGCUCUGUCACUGUUAAAAUAAACGGUCUUAGGAUUUAAAUUAAAAAGGGAUUGUUUGAGGGUGUGAUUGGUUCAGACAUGUAGAAGUUUUAAAAAAAAAUAUAUUUGAACGGAGUCAUUUUUUUUUUCAAUUUUCAAAGGAACUGCCAGGGACGGCUUUGGAUAAUAGGAGGCUCUAGGUGCAGUGAUUUUGGUUGCCCUAAAUAAAAUUUACAAAAACUAAAAAGAAGUAUCGAUAAACUAAAAUGACACAAUUUAUUAUAAACCUGCCUGUGUCUAAGUGGACAAAUAAUUGAAAUUAUCUAUCGCAAUUUCAGUAGUAGAUACAGUCUUAGACUUGUAAAUCUAGAGUCAGUGUUCUACUAUGAGAUCUGAUCCAAGUUUCGCAAUUUUUUCUCUACAUUUUUUAAAGUCUAUAUGUCUAUGUGCGAGGCCCCCCCCCCCCCCC